Ipomoea nil (Japanese morning glory) is the source of this 204-nucleotide long non-coding RNA. RefSeq lists it as uncharacterized. NCBI's taxonomy places the organism in Eukaryota, Viridiplantae, Streptophyta, Magnoliopsida, Solanales, Convolvulaceae. The transcript has 3 exons. The record is from RefSeq and is a predicted model, not a curated record.
CACCAUUGGAGGUGUAUGAGGAGCUGCAAUCACAUGAGUACCUUGUUGACUAUGAGCGUAUUCCUAUAACAGAUGAAAAGUCACCCAAAGAGAUGGAUUUUGAUAUUUUGGGUCAUAAAGUGUCUCAAGCUGAUAUAAAGAUAGAAAUAGUGUUUAAUUGCCAAAUGGGACGCGGACGGACUACAACUGGAAUGGUGAUUGCAA